AAAGUCCGUAACAAGGUUUCCGUAGGUGAACCUGCGGAAGGAUCAUUACCGAGUGAGGGCCCUCUGGGUCCAACCUCCCACCCGUGUUUAUCGUACCUUGUUGCUUCGGCGGGCCCGCCUCACGGCCGCCGGGGGGCAUCCGCCCCCGGGCCCGCGCCCGCCGAAGACACCAAUGAACUCUUGUCUGAAGAUUGCAGUCUGAGCAGAUUAGCUAAAUCAGUUAAAACUUUCAACAACGGAUCUCUUGGUUCCGGCAUCGAUGAAGAACGCAGCGAAAUGCGAUAAGUAAUGUGAAUUGCAGAAUUCAGUGAAUCAUCGAGUCUUUGAACGCACAUUGCGCCCCCUGGUAUUCCGGGGGGCAUGCCUGUCCGAGCGUCAUUGCUGCCCUCAAGCACGGCUUGUGUGUUGGGCUUCGCCCCCCGGCUCCCGGGGGGCGGGCCCGAAAGGCAGCGGCGGCACCGCGUCCGGUCCUCGAGCGUAUGGGGCUUUGUCACCCGCUCUGUAGGCCCGGCCGGCGCCCGCCGGCGACCCCAAAUCAAUCUAUCCAGGUUGACCUCGGAUCAGGUAGGGAUACCCGCUGAACUUAAGCAUAUCAAUAA
RNAcentral lists this ribosomal RNA (599 nucleotides) under Penicillium simplicissimum. Its description in RNAcentral is "eukaryotic LSU rRNA". The stretch from base 225 to 378 matches the Rfam family "5.8S ribosomal RNA". Lineage: Eukaryota; Fungi; Ascomycota; Eurotiomycetes; Eurotiales; Aspergillaceae. The record is from RNAcentral.